GAACCUUAUAAGUGAAAUGUUUGAACUUUUAAGUUCACAUAGUUAUCACGUUUUUAGGUUAUGGUAACCAAUGCAAAUUUCUUGAUCACAGGAUAGCUUAAGUCUUUAAGAUACCAUAUUAGUUAUCUACAUAGUCGCGUAGGUAGACUCUCUCCUGUUUUAAUGAUUUUAGGGCAUUUUUCCCUUCUGCAUAAAAGCUGGAAAAGUUUUUAGUUGUAUGAUGGUCUUUUGAUGUGGUUACCUGGU
This 246-nucleotide unclassified non-coding RNA is filed under the name Hevea brasiliensis (rubber tree). The record is from RNAcentral. Lineage: Eukaryota; Viridiplantae; Streptophyta; Magnoliopsida; Malpighiales; Euphorbiaceae.